This 595-nucleotide ribosomal RNA is filed under the name uncultured archaeon. RNAcentral's name for it is "bacterial SSU rRNA". It matches the Rfam family "Archaeal small subunit ribosomal RNA", at positions 287 to 879 of the family's 1478-position model. The record is from RNAcentral.
AGCCCGGAGAUGGAUUCUGAGACACGAAUCCAGGCCCUACGGGGUGCAGCAGGCGCGAACACUUUACAAUGCGGGAAACCGCGAUAAGGGAACCCCGAGUGCCAGCAUCAAAUGUUGGCUGUCCAGAUGGUUAAAAAUCAUUUGUUAGCCAAGGGCCGGGCAAGACCGGUGCCAGCCGCCGCGGUAACACCGGCGGCCCGAGUGGUAGCCGUUUUUAUUGGGUCUAAAGGAUCCGUAGCCGGCCUGAUAAGUCCUUUGGGAAAUCUGACAGCUUAACUGUCAGGCUUCUAAGGGAUACUGUCAGGCUUGGGACCGGAAGAGGUAAGGGGUACUCCAGGGGUAGGAGUGAAAUCUUGUAAUNCCCUGGGGGACCAUCUGUGGCGAAGGCGCCUUACCAGAACGGGUCCGACGGUGCGGGACGAAAGCUAGGGGAGCAAACCGGAUUAGAUACCCGGGUAGUCCUAGCUGUAAACGAUGCUCGCUAGGUGUCAGACACGGUGCGACCGUGUUUGGUGCCGNCAGGGAAGCCGUUAAGCGAGCCACCUGGGAAGUACGGUCGCAAGGCUGAAACUUAAAGGAAUUGGCGGGGGAGCAC